Molecule: long non-coding RNA, 205 nt
Filed under: Phoenix dactylifera (date palm)
Lineage: Eukaryota; Viridiplantae; Streptophyta; Magnoliopsida; Arecales; Arecaceae
Description: long non-coding RNA (PDAC_LNC021984)
Source: RNAcentral
GGAAAGAAAAGGAAGAAAGGAAGAGGAAGGAGAUCCCGGUUGCGCUGCCAGCUGAAGGGAAAAGUGUAGAUCUCCUUCCCCUCUACGCAAGGACCUCGAUUUUCAAAAAAAAAAGAUAAAUAUCCGUCCCUAUCUAGUCUUUUGAUGAUAUUAGGCUAUACAAAGGGUGGAUAUAGCCUAGAGGGGUCGGAUAAGGGUUGUAGAG